UAUUAUUCCAAAUUACAAGUGUGGAUAUACCUUUUAUGUGUAAUUUAAUUUUCAAUUUGAGGUUAAUUCAUUCAUUAAUCGAUCAAAAGUUGUCGUGUAUUUUUUUUUCGUUUAUUUUCUAUGUAUAAAGAAAUGUAGAUGCUCGUUUGACCGAAAUAAUUUCAAGAAAUGAUGAAGAUAACAUUGCAUCUAAUAGUGAUAAUAUUUAAUAUAUAUUAUAAUUACAAUUGUAAUUGGAGUAAAUGAUUUGAUAAUUUAACACAUUUAUCGUUGGAAUAUCAUUUCGAUUCGGAUAAAAUCGACGAUGAAAUACGUAAAGACUUUAUCGAUCACGUUUAAUGGCAAUUUCAGUUCAAUUCGGUAUGUUCAAGCAUGAAUUCUCACACGACCUGACAGGACUCGAGGGCAACUGAUCUUCUAAUGGAUCUAGCUUCCAAAUUGCUUAUAGUUGAUGUUGAGAUCGAAUGGCUAUACGAAUCAAGCAUAUAUGCAUGAAAUUAUUGUUAUUAACGUUUAUCGCAAAAUACCAAUACUUUUAAACCAA
Molecule: long non-coding RNA, 544 nt
Organism: Apis cerana (Asiatic honeybee)
Lineage: Eukaryota; Metazoa; Arthropoda; Insecta; Hymenoptera; Apidae
Source: RefSeq, a predicted model, not a curated record